This 314-nucleotide ribosomal RNA is filed under the name uncultured Erysipelotrichaceae bacterium. RNAcentral describes it as "partial 16S ribosomal RNA". The record is from RNAcentral. Lineage: Bacteria; Bacillati; Bacillota; Erysipelotrichia; Erysipelotrichales; Erysipelotrichaceae.
GGAGUCUGGGCCGUGUCUCAGUCCCAAUGUGGCCGUUCAUCCUCUCAGAUCGGCUACGCAUCAUCGUCUUGGUGGGCCGUUACCUCACCAACUAACUAAUGCGACAUGAACCCAUCCUGUUGUGUUGUGACCCAACUUUAAUAGAAGAAGGAUGCCCUUCCGCUACCUAUCCGGUAUUAGCGAUCUUUUCAGAUCGUUAUCCCAGUCAUCAGGGUAGGUUGUUCAUGUGUUACUCACCCGUUCGCCACUGAUCAAUCACCGAAGUGAUUUCUCCGUUCGACUUGCAUGUAUUAGGCACGCCGCCAGCGUUCAUC